UCNUCCGGAAAGCAUCAGAGAUGGUGCCCCCCUUGUGGUCGGUAUACAGGUGGUGCAUGGUCUGUCGUCAGCUCGUGUCGUGNAGAUGUUGGGUUAAGUCCCGCAACGAGCGCAACCCUUGUUCUGUGUUGCCAGCAUGCCCUUCGGGGUGAUGGGGACUCACAGGAGACUGCCGGGGUCAACUCGGAGGAAGGUGGGGACGACGUCAAGUCAUCAUGCCCCUUAUGUCUUGGGCUGCACACGUGCUACAAUGGCCGGUACAAAGAGCUGCGAAGCCGCGAGGCGGAGCGAAUCUCAAAAAGCCGGUCUCAGUUCGGAUUGGGGUCUGCAACUCGACCCCAUGAAGUCGGAGUUGCUAGUAAUCGCAGAUCAGCAUUGCUGCGGUGAAUACGUUCCCGGGCCUUGUACACACCGA
RNAcentral lists this ribosomal RNA (415 nucleotides) under Streptomyces sp. ATCA10. RNAcentral's name for it is "bacterial SSU rRNA". It matches the Rfam family "Bacterial small subunit ribosomal RNA", at positions 987 to 1393 of the family's 1533-position model. Lineage: Bacteria; Bacillati; Actinomycetota; Actinomycetes; Kitasatosporales; Streptomycetaceae. The record is from RNAcentral.